Molecule: ribosomal RNA, 509 nt
Filed under: uncultured bacterium
Lineage: Bacteria
Description: bacterial SSU rRNA
Rfam family: Bacterial small subunit ribosomal RNA
Source: RNAcentral
GACGAACGCUGGCGGCGUGCUUAACACAUGCAAGUCGAGCGAAGUAUUCAAGAUAGAUUUCUUCGGAUUGAAGUCUUGAAUAUCUUAGCGGCGAACGGGUGAGUAACGCGUGAGAAACCUGCCUUUCACAAAGGGAUAGCCUCGGGAAACUGGGAUUAAUACCUUAUGAUACUUACAUUUCACAUGAGAAGUAAGUUAAAGCGCAAAGCGGUGAAAGAUGGUCUCGCGUCCCAUUAGUUAGUUGGUGAGGUAACGGCUCACCAAGACCGCGAUGGGUAGCCGGCCUGAGAGGGUGAACGGCCACACUGGAACUGAGACACGGUCCAGACUCCUACGGGAGGCAGCAGUGGGGAAUAUUGCACAAUGGAGGAAACUCUGAUGCAGCGACGCCGCGUGAGUGAAGAAGGCCUUCGGGUCGUAAAACUUUGUCCUAGGGGACGAUAAUGACGGUACCCUAGGAGGAAGCCCCGGCUAACUACGUGCCAGCAGCCGCGGUAAGCAUACUCGUA